CUUCCAGUAGCACCUUAGAGACCAACUAAGUUUAUCAUUGGUAUGAGAUUUCGUGUGCAUGCACACGUCUUCAGAUACACACAUGUGCAUGCACACGAAAGCUCAUACCAAUGACAAACUUAGUUGGUCUCUAAGAUGCUACUGGAAG
Molecule: microRNA precursor, 148 nt
Filed under: Podarcis lilfordi (Lilford's wall lizard)
Lineage: Eukaryota; Metazoa; Chordata; Lepidosauria; Squamata; Lacertidae
Source: RNAcentral